RNAcentral lists this ribosomal RNA (301 nucleotides) under uncultured bacterium. Its description in RNAcentral is "partial 16S ribosomal RNA". It matches the Rfam family "Bacterial small subunit ribosomal RNA", at positions 509 to 809 of the family's 1533-position model. The record is from RNAcentral.
CAGUAGCCACGGUAAUACAGAGGGUGCGAGCGUUAAUCGGAUUUACUGGGCGUAAAGCGUGCGUAGGCGGCUUCUUAAGUCGGAUGUGAAAUCACUGAGCUUAACUUAGGAAUUGCAUUCGAUAAUGGGAAGCUAGAGUAUGGGAGAGGAUGGUAGAAUUCCAGGUGUAGAGGUGAAAUGCGUAGAGAUCUGGAGGAAUACCGAUGGCGAAGGCAGCCAUCUGGCCUAAUACUGACGCUGAGGUACGAAAGCAUGGGGAGCAAACAGGAUUAGAUACCCGUGUAGUCCCUGUCUCUUAUAA